This 506-nucleotide ribosomal RNA is filed under the name uncultured Glomus. RNAcentral describes it as "SSU rRNA". It matches the Rfam family "Eukaryotic small subunit ribosomal RNA", at positions 569 to 1078 of the family's 1831-position model. The record is from RNAcentral. Lineage: Eukaryota; Fungi; Glomeromycota; Glomeromycetes; Glomerales; Glomeraceae.
AGCAGCCGCGGUAAUUCCAGCUCCAAUAGCGUAUAUUAAAGUUGUUGCAGUUAAAAAGCUCGUAGUUGAAUUUCGGGAUCAGUACGCCGGUCGUGCCUUCGGUAUGUACUGGUGUCACUGAUUCCUCCCUUCUGAAGAACCGUUAUGCCGUUCAUUUGGUGUGACGGGGAAUCAGGACUGUUACUUUGAAAAAAUUAGAGUGUUUAAAGCAGGCUCGCGCUUGAAUACAUUAGCAUGGAAUAAUGAAAUAGGACGUUUGAUCUUAUUUUGUUGGUUUCUAGGAUCGACGUAAUGAUUAAUAGGGAUAGUUGGGGGCAUUAGUAUUCAAUUGUCGGAGGUGAAAUUCUUGGAUUUAUUGAAGACUAACUACUGCGAAAGCAUUUGCCAAGGAUGUUUUCAUUAAUCAAGAACGAAAGUUAGGGGAUCGAAGACGAUCAGAUACCGUCGUAGUCUUAACCAUAAACUAUGCCGACUAGGGAUCGGAUGAUGUUAUUUUUAAUGACUCA